RNAcentral lists this ribosomal RNA (407 nucleotides) under uncultured bacterium. RNAcentral's name for it is "bacterial SSU rRNA". It matches the Rfam family "Bacterial small subunit ribosomal RNA", at positions 355 to 774 of the family's 1533-position model. The record is from RNAcentral.
UGGGGAAUAUUGCGCAAUGGGCGGAAGCCUGACGCAGCAACGCCGCGUGCGGGAUGACGGCCUUCGGGUUGUAAACCGCUUUCAGCAGGGACGAAGCUUUUGUGACGGUACCUGCAGAAGAAGCACCGGCCAACUACGUGCCAGCAGCCGCGGUGAUACGUAGGUGGCAAGCGUUGUCCGGAUUUACUGGGCGUAAAGGAUGCGUAGGCGGAUACUUAAGUCAGAUGUGAAAAUCCCGGGCUUAACUUGGGAACUGCAUUUGAAACUGGGUAUCUAGAGUGCGGGAGAGGAAAGUGGAAUUCCUAGUGUAGCGGUGAAAUGCGUAGAGAUUAGGAAGAACACCAGUGGCGAAGGCGACUUUCUGGACCGUAACUGACGCUGAGGCAUGAAAGCGUGGGGAGCAAACA